Molecule: ribosomal RNA, 361 nt
Filed under: Micrococcus sp.
Lineage: Bacteria; Bacillati; Actinomycetota; Actinomycetes; Micrococcales; Micrococcaceae
Description: bacterial SSU rRNA
Source: RNAcentral
UAAGUCCCGCAACGAGCGCAACCCUCGUUCCAUGUUGCCAGCACGUAAUGGUGGGGACUCAUGGGAGACUGCCGGGGUCAACUCGGAGGAAGGUGAGGACGACGUCAAAUCAUCAUGCCCCUUAUGUCUUGGGCUUCACGCAUGCUACAAUGGCCGGUACAAUGGGUUGCGAUACUGUGAGGUGGAGCUAAUCCCAAAAAGCCGGUCUCAGUUCGGAUUGGGGUCUGCAACUCGACCCCAUGAAGUCGGKGUCGCUAGUAAUCGCAGAUCAGCAACGCUGCGGUGAAUACGUUCCCGGGCCUUGUACACACCGCCCGUCAAGUCACGAAAGUUGGUAACACCCGAAGCCGGUGGCCUAACC